AGACGAAGUUAGAGGUUCGAAGGCGAUUAGAUACCGCCCUAGUUCUAACCAUAAACGAUGCCAGCUAGCGAUCUGAGGACGUUUUUUUUGUAGACUCCUCAGGAAGCUUCCGGGAAACCAAAGCGUGUGGGUUCCGGGGGAAGUAUGGUUGCAAAGCUGAAACUUAAAGGAAUUGACGGAAGGGCACCACCAGGAGUGGAGCAUGCGGCUUAAUUUGACUCAACACGGGAAAUCUCACCAGGCCCGGACACUGGAAGGAUUGACAGAUUGAGAGCUCUUUCUCGAUUCGGUGGGUGGUGGUGCAUGGCCGUUCUUAGUUGGUGGAGUGAUUUGUCUGGUUAAUUCCGAUAACGAACGAGACUCUGUCCUGCUAAAUAGUGUCAGCCUCUCUUUUGGGCUGACAAUUCUUCUUAGAGGGACUGGCGGCUCCUAGCCGCACGAGAUAGAGCAAUAACAGGUCUGUGAUGCCCUUAGAUGUUCUGGGCCGCACGCGCGCUACACUGAAUAGAUCAGCGUGUUCUCCCUUUCUGAGAAGAACGGGUAAACCGCUGAACCCUAUUCGUGGUAGGGAUCGGGGCUUGCAAUUAUUCCCCGUGAACCAGGAAUUCCCAGUAGGCGCGAGUCAUAAGCUCGCGUCGAUUACGUCCCUGCCCUUUGUACACACCGCCCGUCGCUACUACCGAUUGAAUGGCUA
RNAcentral lists this ribosomal RNA (694 nucleotides) under uncultured eukaryote. RNAcentral's name for it is "SSU rRNA". It matches the Rfam family "Eukaryotic small subunit ribosomal RNA", at positions 981 to 1699 of the family's 1831-position model. The record is from RNAcentral.